UACGUAAGGGGCAAGCGUUAUCCGGAUUUACUGGGUGUAAAGGGAGCGUAGACGGAAUUGCAAGUCUGAUGUGAAAAUCCGGGGCCCAACCCCGGAACUGCAUUGGAAACUGUAUUUCUAGAGUGUCGGAGAGGCAAGUGGAAUUCCUGGUGUAGCGGUGAAAUGCGUAGAUAUCAGGAGGAACACCAGUGGCGAAGGCGGCUUGCUGGACGAUGACUGACGUUGAGGCUCGAAAGCGUGGGGAGCAAACAGG
This 253-nucleotide ribosomal RNA is filed under the name uncultured bacterium. RNAcentral's name for it is "partial 16S ribosomal RNA". It matches the Rfam family "Bacterial small subunit ribosomal RNA", at positions 524 to 776 of the family's 1533-position model. The record is from RNAcentral.